This 91-nucleotide microRNA precursor is filed under the name Python bivittatus (Burmese python). RNAcentral describes it as "microRNA pbv-mir-32 precursor". Its record names the gene pbv-mir-32. The stretch from base 8 to 77 matches the Rfam family "mir-32 microRNA precursor family". Lineage: Eukaryota; Metazoa; Chordata; Lepidosauria; Squamata; Pythonidae. The record is from miRBase by way of RNAcentral.
CUCUGGUGGUGAUAUUGCACAUUACUAAGUUGCAUGUUGUCACGGCCUCAGUGCAAUUUAGUGUGUGUGAUAUUUUCACAUGAGUGCAUGC